UCAGGAUGAACGCUGGCGGCGUGCUUAACACAUGCAAGUCGAACGGUGAAGCAGAGCUUGCUCUGUGGAUCAGUGGCGAACGGGUGAGUAACACGUGAGCAAUCUGCCCCUGACUCUGGGAUAAGCGCUGGAAACGGCGUCUAAUACCGGAUACGAGCUGCGAUCGCAUGGUCAGUAGCUGGAAAGAAUUUCGGUCAGGGAUGAGCUCGCGGCCUAUCAGCUUGUUGGUGAGGUAAUGGCUCACCAAGGCGUCGACGGGUAGCCGGCCUGAGAGGGUGACCGGCCACACUGGGACUGAGACACGGCCCAGACUCCUACGGGAGGCAGCAGUGGGGAAUAUUGCACAAUGGGCGAAAGCCUGAUGCAGCAACGCCGCGUGAGGGAUGACGGCCUUCGGGUUGUAAAC
This 406-nucleotide ribosomal RNA is filed under the name Microbacterium imperiale. Its description in RNAcentral is "bacterial SSU rRNA". It matches the Rfam family "Bacterial small subunit ribosomal RNA", at positions 24 to 430 of the family's 1533-position model. The record is from RNAcentral. Lineage: Bacteria; Bacillati; Actinomycetota; Actinomycetes; Micrococcales; Microbacteriaceae.